CAAGGCUUGACAUGAACCGGAAAGACCUGGAAACAGGUGCCCCGCUUGCGGUCGGUUUACAGGUGGUGCAUGGUUGUCGUCAGCUCGUGUCGUGAGAUGUUGGGUUAAGUCCCGCAACGAGCGCAACCCUUGUCCGCUGUUGCCAUCAGGUUAAGCUGGGCACUCUGCGGAGACUGCCGGUGAUAAACCGGAGGAAGGUGGGGAUGACGUCAAGUCAGCAUGGCCUUUAUGUCUGGGGCUACACACGUGCUACAAUGGCAGAUACAAACCGUCGCGAUGCCGCAAGGUGGAGCUAAUCGGAGAAAGUCUGUCUCAGUUCGGAUUGCAGGCUGCAACUCGCCUGCAUGAAGUUGGAAUCGCUAGUAAUCGCGGAUCAGCAUGCCGCGGUGAAUA
RNAcentral lists this ribosomal RNA (393 nucleotides) under uncultured bacterium. RNAcentral's name for it is "bacterial SSU rRNA". It matches the Rfam family "Bacterial small subunit ribosomal RNA", at positions 975 to 1368 of the family's 1533-position model. The record is from RNAcentral.